This 979-nucleotide ribosomal RNA is filed under the name Pseudochilodonopsis fluviatilis. RNAcentral describes it as "SSU rRNA". It matches the Rfam family "Bacterial small subunit ribosomal RNA", at positions 524 to 1485 of the family's 1533-position model. Lineage: Eukaryota; Ciliophora; Phyllopharyngea; Chlamydodontida; Chilodonellidae. The record is from RNAcentral.
UACAUGAGUAGUGAACGUUAAUCAUAGUGGUUGGGUGUAAAAGAUACUUCGACUGCGCACAUUAAACUUUUAUAACAUACGGAAUAAAUGGAAAAUUGCGUUGAAAACCGUAAAGUUAGUUUCAUUUUUAGUCUUUAAAGAUAAAAUUUAACGAAAGGCUAACUAAUGUCCAAUGGAUGAAGAUACAAUAACUUACGGUUUUGACGUUUAGGUAUGACAGUAUAGUAAGCAAAGAGGAUUAGAGACCCUUGUAGUCUAUACCGUAAAAUAUAAGUGCUGGUGGAUAAUACAUACUGCUAAACUAACGUGCAAGCGCUUUACCUGGGUAGUAAAACCGCAAGGUUUAAACUUAAAAAAAUUGGCGGGACUUAAUUUAAUGGUGGAGCAUGUGAUUUAAUGCGGUAAUCCUCGCAAAAUCUUACUAAUAUUCGCGUAUACACUUAAUUUUACUUAAGUUAAGAUUAUAAUGUUGCGUUAGGCACUGCAUGGCUGUCGUCAGUUCGAGUUUUAAGGAGUAAAAUUUAGUUUUUAUAUCGAACGCAACCCCUGAGACAGCUUCGUACACGUUAGCUGUUUAGCGCCGCAUCCGCUAUGUAAUAACUACGGUUAUGAUCACUGCGAUGAGGUGCGCUAUAGGGAUGAGGUCAAGUCUUUAUGAUCUACAAAUAUUAGGCUAUCCAUUUGUUACAAUGGAAAAAACAACGAGUUUUAUAUCUUCAACGAGAAAAAAACUUUAAAAAUUUCCCUAGUGCGAAGUACCUUUUUAAACUUAAAGGUAUGAAGUCGGAAUCAUUAGUAAUCGCAUAAUAGUAAGGUACGGUGAAUAACAACAUUAAGUUUGCACACACCGCCCAUCACGCUCGGAUAGUUGUCUGCACCCAAGGGUCGCUAAUUACAAAAUAUUAAUUAGAAAUGUUAGUCAAUGCGUACAUUAUAAGUUUUUAGGUACCACCAAGUGUGGGGGGUGAUUUGAGUGAAG